This 231-nucleotide ribosomal RNA is filed under the name uncultured bacterium. RNAcentral's name for it is "partial 16S ribosomal RNA". It matches the Rfam family "Bacterial small subunit ribosomal RNA", at positions 28 to 260 of the family's 1533-position model. The record is from RNAcentral.
GACGAACGCUGGCGGCGUGCUUAACACAUGCAAGUCGAGCGGUAAGGCCCUUUCGGGGGUACACGAGCGGCGAACGGGUGAGUAACACGUGGGUGACCUGCCCUCAGCUCUGGGAUAAGCCCGGGAAACUGGGUCUAAUACCGGAUAUGACUUCAUGACGCAUGUUGUGGAGUGGAAAGCCUUGUGCGGCUGAGGAUGGGCCCGCGGCCUAUCAGCUUGUUGGUGGGGUGA